Non-coding RNA from Paramuricea clavata, 619 nucleotides. Lineage: Eukaryota; Metazoa; Cnidaria; Anthozoa; Malacalcyonacea; Plexauridae. The record is from the annotation of a GenBank genome assembly.
UAGCCUUAUUAAACCAAUUUGUGUUUGGAAUAAUGUUUAAUGUUAUUUUACAUUUAAUAUCAAUAUCUGUGUCUUCAUUCCAUUAUACAUGUUCUCAACACUCGAAAGGUGAAGAUAUUAAAACCAAAAUACGGGAUUUAAAGACGCAAUAUUGGAAAGAAAUGGGAAAGUUACGAGCGUCGAUGACGAUUGGGCCAAGUACAAGCAAAGUGGUGUCUGUAUUAGAGAGGUGUCUGUAUUAGAGAGGUGUGUGUAUUAGAGAGGUGUUUGUAUUAGAGAGGUGUUUGUAUUAGAGAGGUGUAUGUAUUAGAGAGGUGUGUGUAUUAGAGAGGUGUGUGUAUUAGACAGGUGUCUGUAUUAGAGAGGUGUAUGUAUUAGAGAGGUGUCUGUAUUAGAGAGGUGUAUGUAUUAGAGAGGUGUGUGUAUUAGAGAGGUGUCUGUAUUAGAGAGGUGUCUGUAUUAGAGAGGUGUCUGUAUUAGAGAGGUGUCUGUAUUAGAGAAAUGUUCCUAUUAGAGAGGUGUCUGUUUUGACAAACCUUUCACGCAUAAUGUAUCACACGCAUGACCGAUAUUAUGCAUGCUUGAUUUCUGCAUAAUCUUUGCAAAAAGUAUAACAGAC